RNAcentral lists this ribosomal RNA (587 nucleotides) under uncultured bacterium. Its description in RNAcentral is "bacterial SSU rRNA". It matches the Rfam family "Bacterial small subunit ribosomal RNA", at positions 338 to 916 of the family's 1533-position model. The record is from RNAcentral.
CCUACGGGAGGCAGCAGUGGGGAAUAUUGGACAAUGGGGGCAACCCUGAUCCAGCCAUGCCGCGUGUGUGAAGAAGGCCUUUUGGUUGUAAAGCACUUUAAGCAGGGAGGAGAGGCUAAUGGUUAAUACCCAUUAGAUUAGACGUUACCUGCAGAAUAAGCACCGGCUAACUCUGUGCCAGCAGCCGCGGUAAUACAGAGGGUGCGAGCGUUAAUCGGAAUUACUGGGCGUAAAGCGAGUGUAGGUGGCUCAUUAAGUCACAUGUGAAAUCCCCGGGCUUAACCUGGGAACUGCAUGUGAUACUGGUGGUGCUAGAAUAUGUGAGAGGGAAGUAGAAUUCCAGGUGUAGCGGUGAAAUGCGUAGAGAUCUGGAGGAAUACCGAUGGCGAAGGCAGCUUGCUGGCAUAAUAUUGACACUGAGAUUCGAAAGCGUGGGUAGCAAACAGGAUUAGAUACCCUGGUAGUCCACGCCGUAAACGAUGUCUACUAGCCGUUGGGGUCCUUGAGACUUUAGUGGCGCAGUUAACGCGAUAAGUAGACCGCCUGGGGAGUACGGCCGCAAGGUUGAAACUCAAAGGAAUUGACGG